AUGCUCACUUCAGUGGUAUGUAUAUUAAAAUGGGAAUGACACAGAGACUAGCAUGGCCCCUGUGCAAAUUCUUAAAGAAUUCCAUUCAUUUUGU
Molecule: small nuclear RNA, 94 nt
Filed under: Procavia capensis (Cape rock hyrax)
Lineage: Eukaryota; Metazoa; Chordata; Mammalia; Hyracoidea; Procaviidae
Source: RNAcentral